Molecule: non-coding RNA, 253 nt
Filed under: Akkermansia muciniphila ATCC BAA-835
Lineage: Bacteria; Pseudomonadati; Verrucomicrobiota; Verrucomicrobiia; Verrucomicrobiales; Akkermansiaceae
Also listed under: 3 other names
Description: partial 16S ribosomal RNA
Rfam family: Bacterial small subunit ribosomal RNA
Source: RNAcentral
UACAGAGGUCUCAAGCGUUGUUCGGAAUCACUGGGCGUAAAGCGUGCGUAGGCUGUUUCGUAAGUCGUGUGUGAAAGGCGCGGGCUCAACCCGCGGACGGCACAUGAUACUGCGAGACUAGAGUAAUGGAGGGGGAACCGGAAUUCUCGGUGUAGCAGUGAAAUGCGUAGAUAUCGAGAGGAACACUCGUGGCGAAGGCGGGUUCCUGGACAUUAACUGACGCUGAGGCACGAAGGCCAGGGGAGCGAAAGGG